UGCAGAUGAUGUAAAAGAAUAUUUGCUAUCUUAACAUCCAUGAUGACAAUCUCCCACCAAGAUCUCUGAUGCA
RNAcentral lists this small nucleolar RNA (73 nucleotides) under Gambusia affinis (western mosquitofish). RNAcentral describes it as "Small nucleolar RNA SNORD24 (ENSGAFG00000013682.1)". It matches the Rfam family "Small nucleolar RNA SNORD24". Rfam says of the family: U24 is a member of the C/D class of snoRNA which contain the C (UGAUGA) and D (CUGA) box motifs. C/D box snoRNAs have been shown to act as methylation guides for a number of RNA targets. The record is from Rfam by way of RNAcentral. Lineage: Eukaryota; Metazoa; Chordata; Actinopteri; Cyprinodontiformes; Poeciliidae.